AUACGGAGGGUGCAAGCGUUAAUCGGAAUUACUGGGCGUAAAGCGCUCGUAGGCGGCUUGUUAAGUCGGAUGUGAAAGCCCCGGGCUCAACCUGGGAACUGCAUUCGAUACUGGCAGGCUAGAGUAUAGUAGAGGCAAGUGGAAUUCCGGGUGUAGCGGUGAAAUGCGUAGAUAGCCGGAGGAACAUCAGUGGCGAAGGCGACUUGCUGGACUAAUACUGACGCUGAGGAGCGAAAGCGUGGGGAGCAAACGGGAUUAGAAACCCCGGUAGUCC
Molecule: ribosomal RNA, 274 nt
Filed under: uncultured bacterium
Lineage: Bacteria
Description: partial 16S ribosomal RNA
Rfam family: Bacterial small subunit ribosomal RNA
Source: RNAcentral